AUUGAACGCUGGCGGCAUGCUUUACACAUGCAAGUCGAACGGUAACAGGCCGCAAGGUGCUGACGAGUGGCGAACGGGUGAGUAAUGCAUCGGAACGUGCCCAGUCGUGGGGGAUAACGCAGCGAAAGCUGUGCUAAUACCGCAUACGAUCUAUGGAUGAAAGCGGGGGACCGUAAGGCCUCGCGCGAUUGGAGCGGCCGAUGUCAGAUUAGGUAGUUGGUGGGGUAAAGGCUCACCAAGCCAACGAUCUGUAGCUGGUCUGAGAGGACGACCAGCCACACUGGGACUGAGACACGGCCCAGACUCCUACGGAAGUCAGCAGUGGGGAAUUCUGGACAAUGGGCGCAAGCCUGAUCCAGCAAUGCCGCGUGCAGGAAGAAGGCCUUCGGGUUGUAAACUGCUUUUGUACGGAACGAAAAGGUUUGGGUUAAUACCCUGGGCCGAUGACGGUACCGUAAGAAUAAGCACCGGCUAACUACGUGCCAGCCGCCGCAGUAA
RNAcentral lists this ribosomal RNA (498 nucleotides) under uncultured bacterium. RNAcentral describes it as "partial 16S ribosomal RNA". It matches the Rfam family "Bacterial small subunit ribosomal RNA", at positions 30 to 523 of the family's 1533-position model. The record is from RNAcentral.